This is a non-coding RNA of Dipodomys ordii (Ord's kangaroo rat), 105 nucleotides long. NCBI's taxonomy places the organism in Eukaryota, Metazoa, Chordata, Mammalia, Rodentia, Heteromyidae. The record is from Rfam.
AUCCUUUUCUGGUUCAUAAGUGUGAUGAUUGGGUUCUCACGCGCUUGCGUGACAUGUGCCUCCCUCUAAACCUUGUUACGACGUGGGCACAUUACCCUUCUGACG